AUUAGUGUGGAUAUUUGUUUUCGUGUUUCUGCUUCCAGGUGCCAAGUGUGAUAUCCAGAUGACCCAGUCUCCAUCUUCACUGUCUGUGUCUCUAGGAGACACUGCCACCAUCACUUGCAGGGCCAGUGAGGACAUUGGGUAUACUUUAGCCUGGUACCAGCAGCAACCAGGGAAAGCUCCUAAAAUCUUUAUAUAUUGUGCAGAUAGUUUGGAGUCCGGAGUUCCAUCAAGGUUCAGUGGGAGUAAAUCUGGGACGGAGUUCACUCUCAGGAUCAGUGGCCUGGAGCCUGAAGAUGUAGCCACUUAUUACUGUCAACAGUAUAGCAGUUACCCUCCCACAGUGAUAGAAGGCAUAACAAAAACAGCCCAGGGAAGCUGACAUGUGAGUCUGGGCUGCCCCAGCUGCUCCUCCUGCUGC
Molecule: non-coding RNA, 418 nt
Organism: Dipodomys spectabilis (banner-tailed kangaroo rat)
Lineage: Eukaryota; Metazoa; Chordata; Mammalia; Rodentia; Heteromyidae
Source: the annotation of a RefSeq genome assembly